RNAcentral lists this transfer RNA (83 nucleotides) under Canis lupus familiaris (dog). It matches the Rfam family "tRNA". Rfam says of the family: Transfer RNA (tRNA) molecules are approximately 80 nucleotides in length. Their secondary structure includes four short double-helical elements and three loops (D, anti-codon, and T loops). Further hydrogen bonds mediate the characteristic L-shaped molecular structure. tRNAs have two regions of fundamental functional importance: the anti-codon, which is responsible for specific mRNA codon recognition, and the 3' end, to which the tRNAs corresponding amino acid is attached (by aminoacyl-tRNA synthetases). tRNAs cope with the degeneracy of the genetic code in two manners: having more than one tRNA (with a specific anti-codon) for a particular amino acid; and 'wobble' base-pairing, i.e. permitting non-standard base-pairing at the 3rd anti-codon position. RNAcentral also lists the same sequence under 1 other name. The record is from Rfam by way of RNAcentral. Lineage: Eukaryota; Metazoa; Chordata; Mammalia; Carnivora; Canidae.
GCCUGGGUGGCUCAGCGGUUUAGCACCUGCCUUCGGCCCAGGACAUCAUCCUGGAGUCCUGGGAUCAAGUCCCGCCUCAGGCU